Orbicella faveolata is the source of this 3640-nucleotide long non-coding RNA. The record is from RefSeq and is a predicted model, not a curated record. Lineage: Eukaryota; Metazoa; Cnidaria; Anthozoa; Scleractinia; Merulinidae.
AUGGGCCACCCCACAUGUGUGGCUGUAUGUCAUAAGGCAUUACAUCACAGCAGUAAAGGGAAUUGUGGAUGAAAAUAUCAGUGAGGCAGUCAUAGUCUCUGUGUUUGCACAUGUUUGUCAUGUGAUGACCUUUAUACCUGCUGACUGCAUGGAUCAACUAUUUGUCCUGACUCUGGACUUGGUGACCAGGCCAACAGUGUCAAACAGUAAUAUCAGAGAGCAGCUGAAGAGUUCAGUCAACAUUUUAUCAUCUGAAGUACACAGGGCAGCAUUGACUCAAAAACUAAAUCAAAAUUUGCAGACUAUUGCUGGCAUAGUAUAAAAUGUAGGCAUUGAAAUGGAAUCAAAAAUGACAACUGUGGACACCCAGUGACACUCUUUUCUCACUUUGUUUUAUUUUCUUAGUCACUGAUAUGGAACUGAGUGAGCCAAGAAAUGCCAUUAAAAUCGCAUAAUGCUCUUUAACUUGCAAACUGCUUUUCUUUGGUCGAAAUACUAUGAAUCAACUUGAAGCACCAGCCAGAUGUUAAAGUUAAAUAAUCAAAGCCCAGAAUGCCACCACAGCAUAGAUAGAAUAAAAAUAUAAAUGAUAACAAUGUAUAAACAGCAGUUUACAGAUUUCUGAGUAAAUAAUUGUUUAUAAGUGCAUAUUAUAAAUAAAGUUAUUACAAACAAAGGGAGACAGGUAAUAAGAAAUGAUACUGAGAACAAGACACUGAUUCCAUUUAAAUAUGACUUCAUGUUAAACAAGAAUUAUUUAAUGUACAAUAACUUUAAAAAACCUGUAUUUGUGAUGUACUUGGAAUCCGGCCAUAGUCAUGACAAGUAACACACCACGUUGGUGAUGGAUUCUUGUGUAAAGAUGUGGUCAGUGCUCUUGUUGAAGUUAAUUCCGUGGUAGAAGUACCUGGUAUUGGAGACUUCUACAGUGAAAAGGAAAUCAGUGCCUUGUCGAGGCCUAUGCUAGGAAGGUAAGUUACUGAACAUGUUUAGUUAAAUUUAAGUGCAUUUUAUAUAAAGGAGCCACAUCACAGAUGACGAAUCUUGAAAACAAACUUGCACAUAAAAAAGUGUACAUACGGUUAAUCCUCUCCUUACAGAAACCUCGGGAAAAGCUGCACAUAAUGAGUGUUACUUACCUGAAGUUCAACUGGUAAGAGUUAUUUAAUUUUCUGGCAUAAGAAGAAAUCCUGUUGUUGUAGCUGUCAAACAUGGUGCAAACUAUUAUCAAGUGUAUGUUGCUGUAUCCUGUUACAACUACAAACUUAAGUAGAUUUCUUUGUUUUUAGGUUAUGUCUUCAAAUUGAUCCAAAGCCCAGCAGUUCUAACCUCAAUAGUACAGCUACCUCCAGGUCAAGAGGGUCCAUAAGUCACUCACUCACUCGUGCCAUUGCCCAUUACACCUUGGUGGCAGGUAGGGCAGCAACAUAAUCCUUCCACAUCUGCUGGUCCUUUGCCAUGACUUGAACGCCCCGUCAGGUCUUUCCCCUCUGCUUCAUUUCCUUUUGCCUUGCUGUCCCUCUGGCAUCCAGUGUAGGGUGGUCUUGAUGAUGGACACUUCUUGGUGGGUGACAUGGCCAAUCCAUCUCCAACACGUUCUCAUCAGAAUGGUAGCCAUGGAUUUAAGAGCAUAAGUGAUUUACAAAGGAAUUCAUCUACAUAGCUAAUUUGUUCCAGGACACAGAAAGACUGUCAGUUUAGAGGCUAAUUUGAAAAGAAUCCUUACAAAUGGCUGAAUUUUUCGCAGUUUCAACUCGGUUUCGGAGGAAACUUUUGCAAGUUCAAAGUGGGAGCUGAAGCCAAUGCAUUAGUGUGGUACACAAGGAGAAGCCACGAAAGUGAAACGUAAUUAUAAGGUCCCACAGAAUCUUACGACGUUUGAAGAAAGUGAAGAACAACAAAGCUAACGGAACCUUAGAGGACUAAAUUAAAUUUAAACUUUGUUAUGGAAGAAGAAAAGAAAGGAAAAAAUGUAUUUGAUUUAAAUUUUGAGUACGAGAUCGAAUACGGGUACGACUUUUCAAUUCUAGUUUGCAGCUUUCACCUUAUAACAUGACAUUCCUAUCUCCUCCCACGAGUUACUCUGGCUACCUAAAACCAACAAGAAGAGCGCGAGCUCUGAUCUGGAAACAUCAGUGGUUUGAAUUCGGACAUUUCACUCGUACUUAAUCUCGUUCUCGUACUGCAAUGAAUGAGGCAUUUUUGUGUCUCUUUUACAUAGUAACGACAGUAACAAUGUUGACAAUGCUUACACUCUCACUAUCAAAUGUAUGCAAAUUUGAACGCGAACCACAUUCUGUUACCUUUUUUGUUAAAGAAAAUACAACUGCAAAAAUGGAUGUCAGCUUUUCUGUUUGGAUUUAUUCCUACGCGGAUAGCCAUCUAAAGUUGAUGGCAUUUAAUAGUACAUCGACCAAAGCAUACCGCGCGAAAGCCUUUAGGCUUCUUGUUGAAUUUCGUAUUUUUUGGAAAACUAGAUAUUUCGUUAAUAUAUUUAAACUGAUAAACGUUACCAAUAUAUCACUCUUAGUGUUUGAAUCCAACUUUUUUAACUCAAAAGUAAUAAAAGAGUUUUAUAAAUGUUGAUAUUACACUUCGUAUGGCAACACUUUGAAAGUUCAUAAGUGCAUGAACAUUGUCGCUUACGGAAAAGUCAAUAAGUAAACGUUAUCAACUUUUCAUUUUGUAUUUGAUUUUUUAUUGACGGACUUUUGGGCAGAAAUUUUAUUAUGCAGAGAGGUUCCAGGGAUGUAUUUAGGUCUCGAUACAGGUAAAAGAAUUCCUUGUGUAAUUUUUGAAGAGAGUAGAUUCGUGUUUAAUUAUUUUUGUAGGUCAAAGUUAAACUAUCCUAAAGUUUUGUAAACUAGACGUUAAGUUUAAUCGCUUCAUCUUCACAAUGAAACUUUACGUUUGUUAGAUUUGACUCUGAUGACGAUCGACUUCUUUCCACAAGGUCAUCAGUUUCGGAAUAAGGCUUUGUUAUGUCGAAGACAAACGGACUGCCUUAAUUCCAUAACGAUCACUGUGUAAAAUGACAAAAAAUUGCAAUCUUGCAAAGAUGAACAAUACAUGGAACGCCUGUCUGGCCUCAGGACUUCAGCGACCUUGUUUCCUUGACUCCUGGACUCUACAGCUGUAUAGCAAGACAAUUCUUUCCUUAAAAGACAUACUGUACACAUUUUAUAAUAGCACCAUUUACAAGGUUUUUUUCUCCAUAAUACAACAUAGCAUUUUCAAACUUUCACGAUAAAAAAAGACAUUAAACAAAGUGACUUUAAGUUAGCCCUACUAAGCUGAUUAUCCUUGGUAUCAAUGCGUUUCCUUGGCAACGCUCAACAAACCUUAUGGUUUGGUCGUGAUUUGUUAUUUUUCUUUUUUUUCCCCCUAUAUUGUUAUUUCAUUUUCUGUGCCUGAACGUACUGAUAGAGAACUUGCCGUUUGAUAACAGCAGAUGAUAUUUGUUGAACCGAGCUAGGGGUAAUCCUAAAAGAUACGCAGUCACAGUAGCGUUCUUCGCACUAAAAAGAGAGAAGUGACCUUACCCGAAAAUUAACCGCUAUCCUCGGUCAUAUCACACGGCAAAUAAAAAACCACUUGGCUCCGGGGAUAAAAACUGAGUGUAUCACGCUGAUGAGAUGAG